GGGUUGUGAGGUUAAGCGACCAAGCGUACACGGUGGAUGCCCUGGCAGUCAGAGGCGAUGAAGGACGUGCUAAUCUGCGAAAAGCGCCGGUAAGGUGAUAUGAACCGUUAUAACCGGCGAUGUCCGAAUGGGGAAACCCAGUGUGACUCGUCACACUAUCAUUAACUGAAUCCAUAGGUUAAUGAGGCGAACCGGGGGAACUGAAACAUCUAAGUACCCCGAGGAAAAGAAAUCAACCGAGAUUCCCCCAGUAGCGGCGAGCGAACGGGGAGGAGCCCAGAGCCUGAAUCAGCAUGUGUGUUAGUGGAAGCGUCUGGAAAGGCGCGCGAUACAGGGUGACAGCCCCGUACACAAAAGCGCAUGUGCUGUGAGCUCGAUGAGUAGGGCGGGACACGUGGUAUCCUGUCUGAAUAUGGGGGGACCAUCCUCCAAGGCUAAAUACUCCUGACUGACCGAUAGUGAACCAGUACCGUGAGGGAAAGGCGAAAAGAACCCCGGCGAGGGGAGUGAAACAGAACCUGAAACCGUGUACGUACAAGCAGUGGGAGCCCCACCACUAAGCCAGUGGUGAACUCCACAUACGCAUCCUUUGCUGAGGAUACGGUUAACGGAGCGAAAGCGACGUUUAACCGCAAAAGAAGCAGAGGGGGCUUAGUGGUGGGGUGACUGCGUACCUUUUGUAUAAUGGGUCAGCGAUUUAUAUUCUGUAGCAAGGUUAACCGCAUAGGGGAGCCGGAGGGAAACCGAGUCUUAAUUGGGCGUUAAGUUGCAGGGUAUAGACCCGAAACCCGGUGAUCUAGCCAUGGGCAGGUUGAAGGUUGGGUAACACUAACUGGAGGACCGAACCGACUAAUGUUGAAAAAUUAGCGGAUGACCUGUGGCUGGGGGUGAAAGGCCAAUCAAACCGGGAGAUAGCUGGUUCUCCCCGAAAGCUAUUUAGGUAGCGCCUCGUGAAUUCAUCUCCGGGGGUAGAGCACUGUUUCGGCCAGGGGGCCAUCCCGGCUUACCAAUCCGAUGCAAACUGCGAAUACCGGAGAAUGUUAUCACGGGAGACACACGGCGGGUGCUAACGUCCGUCGUGAAGAGGGAAACAACCCAGACCGCCAGCUAAGGUCCCAAAGUCAUGGUUAAGUGGGAAACGAUGUGGGAAGGCCCAGACAGCCAGGAUGUUGGCUUAGAAGCAGCCAUCAUUUAAAGAAAGCGUAAUAGCUCACUGGUCGAGUCGGCCUGCGCGGAAGAUGUAACGGGGCUAAACCAUGCACCGAAGCUGCGGCAGCGAACGUAUCACCCAAGACAACUUUGCACAGUUGACGAUUGACGGAGCGAAGCGACGUCAAAGCGUUUUACAACGUCGAGUUGGCUUAGGGAUACGUUCGUUGGGUAGGGGAGCGUUCUGUAAGCCGUUGAAGGUGGCCUGUGAGGGUUGCUGGAGGUAUCAGAAGUGCGAAUGCUGACAUAAGUAACGAUAAAGCGGGUGAAAAGCCCGCUCGCCGGAAGACCAAGGGUUCCUGUCCAACGUUAAUCGGGGCAGGGUGAGUCGACCCCUAAGGCGAGGCCGAAAGGCGUAGUCGAUGGGAAACGGGUUAAUAUUCCCGUACUUGGUGUUACUGCGAAGGGGGGACGGAGAAGGCUAUGUUGGCCGGGCGACGGUUGUCCCGGUUUAAGCGUGCAGGUGUGUGUUCCAGGUAAAUCCGGUUCACUUUAACACUGAGGCGUGACGACGAGGCACCACGGUGCUGAAGCAACAAAUGCCCUGCUUCCAGGAAAAGCCUCUAAGCCUCAGGUAACAUCAAAUCGUACCCCAAACCGACACAGGUGGUCAGGUAGAGAAUACCAAGGCGCUUGAGAGAACUCGGGUGAAGGAACUAGGCAAAAUGGUGCCGUAACUUCGGGAGAAGGCACGCUGACACGUAGGUGAAGUGGUUUACCCAUGGAGCUGAAGUCAGUCGAAGAUACCAGCUGGCUGCAACUGUUUAUUAAAAACACAGCACUGUGCAAACACGAAAGUGGACGUAUACGGUGUGACGCCUGCCCGGUGCCGGAAGGUUAAUUGAUGGGGUCAGCGCAAGCGAAGCUCCUGAUCGAAGCCCCGGUAAACGGCGGCCGUAACUAUAACGGUCCUAAGGUAGCGAAAUUCCUUGUCGGGUAAGUUCCGACCUGCACGAAUGGCGUAAUGAUGGCCAGGCUGUCUCCACCCGGGACUCAGUGAAAUUGAACUCGCUGUGAAGAUGCAGUGUACCCGCGGCAAGACGGAAAGACCCCGUGAACCUUUACUAUAGCUUGACACUGAACACUGGUCCUUGAUGUGCAGGAUAGGUGGGAGGCUUUGAAGUGUGGACGCCAGUCUGCAUGGAGCCAUCCUUGAAAUACCACCCUUUAAUGGCUGGUGUUCUAACGUGGGCCCCUGACCGGGGUUGCGGACAGUGUCUGGUGGGUAGUUUGACUGGGGCGGUCUCCUCCUAAAGAGUAACGGAGGAGCACGAAGGUUGGCUAAUCCUGGUCGGACAUCAGGAGGUUAGUGCAAUGGCAUAAGCCAGCUUGACUGCGAGCGUGACGGCGCGAGCAGGUGCGAAAGCAGGUCAUAGUGAUCCGGUGGUUCUGAAUGGAAGGGCCAUCGCUCAACGGAUAAAAGGUACUCCGGGGAUAACAGGCUGAUACCGCCCAAGAGUUCAUAUCGACGGCGGUGUUUGGCACCUCGAUGUCGGCUCAUCACAUCCUGGGGCUGAAGUAGGUCCCAAGGGUAUGGCUGUUCGCCAUUUAAAGUGGUACGCGAGCUGGGUUUAGAACGUCGUGAGACAGUUCGGUCCCUAUCUGCCGUGGGCGCUGGAAGAUUGAGGGGGGCUGCUCCUAGUACGAGAGGACCGGAGUGGACGCAUCACUGGUGUUCGGGUUGUCAUGCCAAUGGCACUGCCCGGUAGCUACAUACGGAAGAGAUAAGUGCUGAAAGCAUCUAAGCACGAAACUUGCCCCGAGAUGAAUCUUCCCUGAGCCUUUAAGGCUCCUGAAGGAACGUUGAAGACGACGACGUUGAUAGGCCGGGUGUGUAAGCGCAGCGAUGCGUUGAGCUAACCGGUACUAAUGAACCGUGAGGCUUAACCUUACAACGCCGAAG
This 3112-nucleotide ribosomal RNA is filed under the name Salmonella enterica subsp. houtenae str. CFSAN000552. RNAcentral describes it as "23S ribosomal RNA". It matches the Rfam family "Bacterial large subunit ribosomal RNA". Lineage: Bacteria; Pseudomonadati; Pseudomonadota; Gammaproteobacteria; Enterobacterales; Enterobacteriaceae. The record is from RNAcentral.